RNAcentral lists this ribosomal RNA (245 nucleotides) under uncultured bacterium. RNAcentral describes it as "partial 16S ribosomal RNA". It matches the Rfam family "Bacterial small subunit ribosomal RNA", at positions 524 to 768 of the family's 1533-position model. The record is from RNAcentral.
AACGUAGGUGGCGAGCGUUAUCCGGAUUCAUUGGGCGUAAAGAGCUUGUAGGUGGCUGGGUAAGUUGGACGUAAAAACUCCGGGCUUAACUUGGAGCAGCCGUUCAAGACUGUCCGGCUGGAGGGUGUCAGAGGGAAGUAGAAUUCCUGGUGUAGCAGUGAAAUGCGUAGAUAUCAGGAGGAAUACCCGUGGCGUAGGCGGCUUCCUGGGGCACACCUGACACUGAGAAGCGACAGCUAGGGGAG